UUACUCGGAUCGGUGGCCAAACCCUUUGACGAGUUGCGACUUACGAGUUGGAAGAAACCCUCUUCCCGAUCGGUGCAGGAAAUAACAGAGAGAGAAGCGGAAAUGACGAGCUAUUUGUGGAGGAAGUACGCGGAUCACUUGUACUCAAAAUGGGAAAAGACGUUCCUUUGGGAUAUGGUCGAGCCUUAUAGGCGACCCAAAUCUUUCACCCCACUCGUCACCAUCUAUGUCGCUGCCUUCUAUACUGGCGUAAUUGGAGCUGCAAUAACAGAACAACUCUAUAAGGAGAAAUAUUGGGAAGAUCACCCAGGAGAAGCAGUGCCUCUCAUGAAGCCAAAGUUUUAUUAUGGCCCUUGGAAGGUCCUGAGAGGGGAUUUCCUUCCACCCAACCAGUGAACCAGAUAUAUUCAAAUGGGAUGGUUUAUGGAUAUAUUGUUACUCUAUGUCAUUUACACUAAUUAGAAGCUCUGGUAGUAUCAAACAAACAAGAAAUCAGUCGCAAGUGCCUUGGAAUUCAAGUGAUGAGAGCAGAAUAUUGAUGUAAUACCACUUGCUGCUAUUUCAUUUGGAGGUAAAGAAGUCCUACCAUAUGCUGUCAUAAUGGUUGCUUUUCGGACCAAAAGAGUUAUGUUGGAGCUUCAUUGGUUGAUUUCAGGGGUGUUUGACAAUGUGAAUGGUAUUGUUUUCUAAAACAAAAAGCAAUUGCCACAUCAGCAGAAAAUGUGUGGCAGUUGUUUUUUGUUUUAGAAAACAAAACCAGUACACUGAUCAAAAGAAAAACAAAACAAAACAAAACCAGUACAUUGUCGAAUACACCCUUAAUUGAUGGAAACCAUUUUGAUUUUUCAAACAAUAUCACAUGUAACUGCUGUAUUUUGUAAACAACCAUCUAUUAUUUAUUUGAAGAAGGAAGAAAUUAAUUCAUUA
Molecule: non-coding RNA, 927 nt
Organism: Nelumbo nucifera (sacred lotus)
Lineage: Eukaryota; Viridiplantae; Streptophyta; Magnoliopsida; Proteales; Nelumbonaceae
Source: RefSeq, a predicted model, not a curated record